AUGGUCGACAGGUUUCCUCCCAGUCAAUAGCUCCAGAAGAACAACUCCAAAACUGUACACAUCGCUCUUAGAGCUAAGUUGACCAGUCAUCGCAUACCUGAUCAAAAAGUUUAAACAAGCUUAAGUUGAAUGACUCCAAAGCUUCAUGGAGCAAAUGAACAACUGAAAGAAAACAAGAACAUACUCAGGUGCAUGGUAUCCAAAUGUUCCCAGAACCCUAGUUGAGUGAAGCCGGGCUGCCAUGUCAGGAGCUUGGUUUGA
This 261-nucleotide ribosomal RNA is filed under the name Triticum aestivum (bread wheat). Its description in RNAcentral is "partial small subunit ribosomal RNA". Lineage: Eukaryota; Viridiplantae; Streptophyta; Magnoliopsida; Poales; Poaceae. The record is from RNAcentral.